ACGAGCCAAACUAUGAGCAUCCAUUACAAUCAUAGCAUUUCUCACAUCAUCGUAUAAAUUACGUGAAUGUGCACCUCAUUCAUACAAUUUCUGUAUUUUUCUUUUUAUGAGUACAAAUUCGGGGUAGAGGGAUUUAAACCCGAGACCUCUUGGUUCUAAGUACAUACAUACAGGCGUUAGUUGAGCUUGGUUGACAAUUUCUAUACUUUUUUAAGUAACAAAUAAUUGGAGAAAUUUUGUGGCUAUAUUUAUGAUUUUUCUCAAAGAACUUAAGGAUCUUUAUUUCCAUUUCUAUAUAUUGUGGGAAUUUUUGCAGACAUUGAUAUGGGUGAAACAAAGAAAGUAAGCGAACAAACUAAUAUUGGACAGUUGGAGUUCAGCCCUGCACGACCCUUUGACAAAGCCCUUCCCUCACUUCUAGCCACCAUUGUCCAUUGUUCACACCUAACACAACCUAGUGGUAGCAUGUCACUUCCUCCUUGCCAGCCAGUUCACCCCAGCCUGUAGGUCAGUCAGCCUGUUAUAAAAGAAAAAAGUCAAUUUUUAUGUUCUCCCCCAACCGACAGUGAGCUUCACGGUGACAUCUAUCCUAAUCUACACUGACUUUCACCCUACUUCGACCACAACCAGACUUUCAUAGUUAAUAGGGUGGUAAUUUUGCUGGUUUCGACAUUAUGUACAUGCAUGAGUUUAAUCACCCCUCCCUCCUCUUUUCCUUUUCAGUUAUGAGAUUAAAGUGAGGGAAUGACAAGAGAAGAUCAUGAACCAACGAAAAUUACAGAUGUGUUGAAAUUUGUUGUCAGAAUCUGUUUGAAUGAUGAACUUCAUGCAUACAAUUGUUGUGGUUGUCACAACUGGAAUCUAUUAAACAAAAUCAAAUACUUGAUAAUAACUACCUCUCCACACUGUUAUGUUUCUUGUUUUUUCGUUUUCAAUAAUUUGAUCGGUUUUAGACUUUUGGUUUAUUUUCAAUUAGAAGUAAAUGAAUGAAGGAAAAAGAUAACAGAAAAAGUUGAUUUUACUUUUACUAUCAUUUUCCUAUGCUUUUUAGUUUAUGGGGAUAGAUAUUUGUUGGUGUUCCUUUUCUUAAGUUAGAAGAAAAAAAGUUGGGGCAUAACUUUACAUGGACAAUCAAGUCAUUUUUUUUUCUUAA
Molecule: long non-coding RNA, 1153 nt
Organism: Cucumis sativus (cucumber)
Lineage: Eukaryota; Viridiplantae; Streptophyta; Magnoliopsida; Cucurbitales; Cucurbitaceae
Exons: 2
Source: RefSeq, a predicted model, not a curated record